This 373-nucleotide ribosomal RNA is filed under the name uncultured organism. Its description in RNAcentral is "bacterial SSU rRNA". It matches the Rfam family "Bacterial small subunit ribosomal RNA", at positions 526 to 896 of the family's 1533-position model. The record is from RNAcentral.
CAGAGGGGGCGAGCGUUGUUCGGAAUUACUGGGCGUAAAGGGCGCGUAGGCGGCCUUCUAAGUCGAACGUGAAAUCCCCGGGCUCAACCCGGGAACUGCGUCCGAUACUGGGAGGCUUGAAUCCGGGGAGAGGGAUGUGGAAUUCCAGGUGUAGCGGUGAAAUGCGUAGAUAUCUGGAGGAACACCGGUGGCGAAGGCGGCAUCCUGGACCGGUAUUGACGCUGAGGCGCGAAAGCCAGGGGAGCAAACGGGAUUAGAUACCCCGGUAGUCCUGGCCCUAAACGAUGAAUGCUUGGUGUGGCGGGUAUCGAUCCCUGCCGUGCCGAAGCUAACGCAUUAAGCAUUCCGCCUGGGGAGUACGGUCGCAAGGCUG